UGGGGAAUAUUGCACAAUGGGCGAAAGCCUGAUGCAGCAACGCCGCGUGAGUGAUGAAGGUCUUCGGAUUGUAAAGCUCUGUCUUUUGGGACGAUAAUGACGGUACCAAAGGAGGAAGCCACGGCUAACUACGUGCCAGCAGCCGCGGUAAUACGUAGGUGGCGAGCGUUGUCCGGAUUUACUGGGCGUAAAGGGUGCGUAGGCGGAUGUUUAAGUGAGAUGUGAAAUACCCGGGCUUAACUUGGGUGCUGCAUUUCAAACUGGAUAUCUAGAGUGCAGGAGAGGAGA
This 288-nucleotide ribosomal RNA is filed under the name uncultured bacterium. RNAcentral describes it as "partial 16S ribosomal RNA". It matches the Rfam family "Bacterial small subunit ribosomal RNA", at positions 355 to 660 of the family's 1533-position model. The record is from RNAcentral.